RNAcentral lists this ribosomal RNA (192 nucleotides) under uncultured bacterium. RNAcentral's name for it is "partial 16S ribosomal RNA". It matches the Rfam family "Bacterial small subunit ribosomal RNA", at positions 1309 to 1500 of the family's 1533-position model. The record is from RNAcentral.
AACCCGGCUGCACGAAGCCGGAAUCGCUAGUAAUCGCAGAUCAGAAUGCUGCGGUGAAUACGUUCCCGGGUCUUGUACACACCGCCCGUCACACCAUGGGAGUCGGAAAUGCCCGAAGUCAGUGGCCCAACCGGAAGGAGGGAGCUGCCGAAGGCAGGUCCGGUGACUGGGGUGAAGUCGUAACAAGGUACC